Molecule: ribosomal RNA, 440 nt
Filed under: uncultured bacterium
Lineage: Bacteria
Description: partial 16S ribosomal RNA
Rfam family: Bacterial small subunit ribosomal RNA
Source: RNAcentral
CCUACGGGUGGCAGCAGUGGGGGAUAUUGCACAAUGGGGGGAACCCUUAUUCAUCUACUCCUCUUUUUUUACUUAUCUUUCCUUCUCUUACCACCCUAUCGGCAGGGAAGAAGAUGACGGUACCUGACCAAGAAGCCCCGGCUAACUACGUGCCAGCAGCCGCGGUAAUACGUAGGGGGCAAGCGUUAUCCGGAUUUACUGGGUGUAAAGGGGGCGCAGACGGCAAUGCAAGCCAGGAGGGAAAGCCCGGGGCCCAACCCCGGGACUGCUCUUGGAACUGCAUGGCUGGAGUACAGGAGGGGCAGGCGGAAUGCCUGGUGUAGCGGUGAAAUGCGUAGAUAUUAGGAGGAACACCGGUGGCGAAGGCGGCCUGCUGGACUGUGACUGACGUUGAGGCCCGAAGGCGUGGGGAGCAAACAGGAUUAGAUACCCCUGUAGUC